Oreochromis aureus is the source of this 1179-nucleotide long non-coding RNA. The record is from Ensembl. Lineage: Eukaryota; Metazoa; Chordata; Actinopteri; Cichliformes; Cichlidae.
GUAGAAGUUUUGAAACAUGAUGGCUCCAACUGUCAAGCUCGACUUUUAUUUUGAAAGAAAAUGUUCUCCGUUUUUGGGUUGAGUGACACUUUUUUUUGCUAGCAAGUUUUUGCAGGCAGGUCAGCGUCUUCCGUGCAAACUAUGAGGAACUACAGCAAUGUGCUAGUGACCAAAGAAAUCACAAGGAUGUUUUGAAGGAAGCCAUCUGCCGUAACGGGGUUGGGGUGAAACAAAACAUCCUUGUGAUUUCUUUGGUCACUAGCACAUUGCUGUAGUUCCUCAUAGUUUGCACGGAAGACGCUGACCUGCCUGCAAAAACUUGCUAGCAAAAAAAAGUGUCACUCAACCCAAAAACGGAGAACAUUUUCUUUCAAAAUAAAAGUCGAGCUUGACAGUUGGAGCCAUCAUGUUUCAAAACUUCUACUACUUUGAAGGGAAAUUACGGUCUAUGUUUCUGGUUUGUGCUGCCCUUUUUCACCGUUUCACUAGAGCGCAGAAAGUAGUUUAAGAGUGUUUGCAGACACGCCAGUGUCUUCCAUAAAAACUACAGGCAACCAUGGCGUUCAAUUUCACCUCAUCACUGUCUACAAUCUCCACCAAUCACUCAGGGAAUACACGCUUCUAGGUUUCUAGGUGGUAGCUGACAAAUUUCUAGGCCUCUGUGCCUGUGGGUGUAGCCAAUAAGUAAAAAAUAAGAUUUUGAAUUUAUAAUCUAAUCUGACACAUUAGAACUUGUCGUGUGGUCUGAGCCUGGCAUAACAGUCGGCAGAGAUCAAAGUAAUCGAUUACAAAUUAUACCCAGCCAGCUGAUAACUGUCACUGUUCAGUGUGUUAACAUUUACUACCAGUAAAGUAAACAUUUUCUGUAGUUUGCAUUUUUUUCAUACAUCAGACAGGGACGUGUACAUAUUUUAACCUUGCUGUUAUCAGCUCUCACUGGUUUCUGUGAUUUCAUAUAAAGCUGCACAGUGCGCUAACACUCUACUGUACAAUGAACACUUUAUGUCUUUAACUCUUCUUAUGUUUAUUAGUCACAUCCAGAGGAAAAAAAAUGUCCCUACAGUGUAGAAAUAAACCUCAUGUGGUAGAUUUGGUCAUUUCCCAUAUAAACAGCUACAUUAAGCAGCUCUCCAUCUGUUUUGCUCUCAAACUUUUCCUGUCUGCACACAUGGCUUCCAC